GGCUCGAACCUAUGACCUCCAGGUUACAAGUGAAGUAAACCACCUCUUUUGGGAACAGAUAAAGUUUAGGAAAAUUUAUUAUUACAUGUUCUUCUCUUUUGAUGUUCAUGAGCGAUGAUUUGUUAUAAAUCUUUUUGAACUUGAGACAACAUUGCCUGUUAGCUUAGUACUCAUUUCAGGUUAUCUUGAAACAUAUAAUAAAUCUUGGCUAUGUAUCAGGGUGCACUCUCUGAAAUCCU
This 239-nucleotide unclassified non-coding RNA is filed under the name Hevea brasiliensis (rubber tree). Lineage: Eukaryota; Viridiplantae; Streptophyta; Magnoliopsida; Malpighiales; Euphorbiaceae. The record is from RNAcentral.